UUAGCCUGCCCAAUGAAUUUUUAAAUGGCUGCAGUAUUUUGACUGUACUAAGGUAGCAUAAUCAAUAGUUUUUUAAUUGAAAGCUGGAAUGAAAGGCUGGACGAGAAAGAAACUGUCUCUUUAUAAAUAUAUUAAAAUUUUAUUUUUAAGUUAAAAAGCUUAAAUUAAAUUAAAAGACGAGAAGACCCUAUAGAGUUUUAUAUAAAUAUUAAAAAUUUAUUUAUAGAAUUUUAAAUAAAUUUUUAAUAUUUUUAUUUUAUUGGGGUGAUGAAAAAAUUUAAUAAACUUUUUUUUAAAAAAACAUAAAUGUAUGAAUUUUUGAUCCAAAAAUAUUUGAUUAAAAGAUUAAAUUACCUUAGGGAUAACAGCGUAAUUUUUUUAAAGAGUUCUUAUUGAUAAAAAAGUUUGCGACCUCGAUGUUGGAUUAAAAUUUUAUUUUAGGUGAAGAAGCUAUAAAAUUUGGUCUGUUCGACCAUUAAAAUUUUACAUGAUCUGAGUUUAAACCGGUGU
Molecule: ribosomal RNA, 510 nt
Filed under: Sinophilus yukoae
Lineage: Eukaryota; Metazoa; Arthropoda; Insecta; Coleoptera; Staphylinidae
Description: partial 16S ribosomal RNA
Rfam family: Bacterial large subunit ribosomal RNA
Source: RNAcentral